CCUACGGGCGGCUGCAGUAGGGAAUCUUCCGCAAUGGACGAAAGUCUGACGGAGCAAUACCGCGUGAGUGAUGAAGGUCUUCGGAUCGUAAAACUCUGUUGUUAGGGAAGAACAAGUGCUAAUCUAAUACAUUAGUGCCCUGACGGUACCUAACCAGAAAGCCCCGGCUAACUACGUGCCAGCAGCCGCGGUAAUACGUAGGGGGCAAGCGUUGUCCGGAAUUAUUGGGCGUAAAGGGCGCGCAGGCGGCCUCUUAAGUCUGAUGUGAAAUCUUGUGGCUUAACCACAAGCGGUCAUUGGAAACUGAGAAGCUUGAGUGCAGAAGAGGAGAGUGGAAUUCCACGUGUAGCGGUGAAAUGCGUAGAGAUGUGGAGGAACACCAGUGGCGAAGGCGACUCUCUGGUCUGUAACUGACGCUGAGGCGCGAAAGCGUGGGGA
This 438-nucleotide ribosomal RNA is filed under the name uncultured bacterium. RNAcentral's name for it is "bacterial SSU rRNA". It matches the Rfam family "Bacterial small subunit ribosomal RNA", at positions 338 to 767 of the family's 1533-position model. The record is from RNAcentral.